GGAGAAGGCCAGGGGGCCGCAGGGGUUUUUACCCCUGAGGAAGGUCCGGACUCCGCAGGGCAGGCCGCUCGGGGAAACCCGAGGGGGAGCGAUCCCCGGAAAGUGCCACAGAAAACAGACCGCCAGCGGCCCUGCUUUAAGGCAGGGUGCGGGCAAGGGUGAAAAGGUGGGGUAAGAGCCCACCGCCGGGGCCGCGAGGUUCCCGGGCACGGCAAACCCCGGCCGGAGCAAGGCCAAAUAGGGAGGCGCUUGAGGCUGGCCCGGCCGAUGCCUCCGGGUGGGCCGCAAAGAGGAAUGGCCCCCUUAAACACAGAAUCCGGCCUAUGGCCCUCUCCCCCG
RNAcentral lists this RNase P RNA (339 nucleotides) under Candidatus Bipolaricaulota bacterium. RNAcentral describes it as "RNase P RNA component class A". It matches the Rfam family "Bacterial RNase P class A". Rfam says of the family: Ribonuclease P (RNase P) is a ubiquitous endoribonuclease, found in archaea, bacteria and eukarya as well as chloroplasts and mitochondria. Its best characterised activity is the generation of mature 5'-ends of tRNAs by cleaving the 5'-leader elements of precursor-tRNAs. Lineage: Bacteria; Candidatus Bipolaricaulota. The record is from RNAcentral.